Molecule: long non-coding RNA, 1818 nt
Organism: Taeniopygia guttata (zebra finch)
Lineage: Eukaryota; Metazoa; Chordata; Aves; Passeriformes; Estrildidae
Source: Ensembl
GAGCGUUUCUCAGCUCCUUCUCCCCGAGAGGCAACAGGGGAGGGUGGUCCCGGUUCCCUGCAAUGGAGACGGUGCUGGAAGCGAUGGAGGAGUGGAGGAGAUGUAUAAACAUGGAGGCAGCAUGCCUAAUUAAUGACCUGAAACAGCGGGAAAGAGGAAAUCGGUUCAUUGGCUCGAGCAUUCAGCACAGCGAUUGAGAGCAGCCUGGAUCUGGAGCAUCAAGUGAGCAUCACUAGAACCAUCUGAAACCGAGAGGAAAGAGGCUGCAAGUGAGGAAGGGGGGCUGGAGGCCGUGUGCUCUGCAGAAAAAAAGAAAAAGACAAGCUUCUCAUUGCUGGACAUCUCUGAUAAAAUAAUUUCUGGUGGAGGCUGCCUUUUCUUCAUCUGUGCAUGUGGCAUUGCUGCAAAGAAUUCAUCUUAAGUUUGACACCUUAAGGUGUUACUGAAAGAUUCCCUGUAAAAAAUGAAAUAAAUGUAUAAAUAUUUAGGACUCUGCACCCAAACUUCUUUUCUGAACUGACUGAACUUUUUUGAGAAGUGAAAAGAUGAAUUCUGGUCUUUUGCUACCAGGAUAACUUUUGGCACUAGAAGAAUUUGGACAAACUGCUCCUCUUGCAGACCAAACCAUGCAGGGUUGGACCCUGAGUGUGGCAGACCUGGCAGCUUGGCUACUGGGAUGCUGAGUUAUACCCUGCUGGAGCUCCCCCUUUUUCCAGCUUAUUCCUGCAGCCACAGAUCCUGGAUAAUCUAGUGAUAAGCCCUCUCUGUGUAAGACUGAGCUUGUUCUUGGUUCCACGAUGCAGAUACUUGAGCUGAAAUGGCUCCUUGAGCAGGGUUUGUCAGAGUGAAGUUCCUGUUUUUAAUUUAGGCAACCUUUCCUUGGCACAAACAGCUCUCCAUGCUCAUUGUCUCUGCUGUGCUGUUACCCAGACAGGGCACGCUUCCACAGGGGACACCAAAUUCAGCACUGAGCUUUUCUUUUCCCCAGGGAGUACCCAAAACACAGAGAAGUGGCAUGAUCCCAGUCAACCACAUGGCCAACAUGAAAAGGGAGUGGAGUCUCCCUGUUUUUUUCUUGGUUAUGGGUUUGACCUGUAACCUAAGCGCAACCCAAAGAUUUAUCCUUCAGAGAUGCUAGCUAAAAGUAAUCCUGAAUUUAUUAUUUUAAAACAAAUAUCUUGUGGCUUUAAACCAGCCUCAAAAUCUAGUGGGGACAGAAGAGUUAAAAUGACCAGUUCACCUGACUUGCUUACUUUGAAAGAUUUACCAUCUAGGGCCUCUGGCGUUGCUGUCUCAGGGUAAUGAAGAUGCAUCCGAUACAUUCUGAGAAGCAGUAUAAUUGCUUUCAUCAACACCAGUCAGUCUUUGGGUGAGAUGGCUUUUAAACAGUGCAGCAGGGAGGAAAAGAAAAGCUAAAUGCUGCUCUGCUGAGUUGGGCACGCACUGAGGAGAGCAAGGUAAGCAGUGUUGGAUGCAGAGCAAUCUUUCAUCACUGUUGGCUCUGUGGGGACUAAUUAGAGAAUGUUGCUCUGGCUGCUGUGACUGGUAUGGAUGGGAUUUGCUCCAAACAGGGUUUUCUGUAGUCAAAUAAGAUGGUUGUAGCAACAGAUGCAAUGGUGGCAACUGCCUUUAAAGCCCAGUAUUGAUUGGCUUAAACCUUUGCUUUGGAAAUUAUCUGCUCCUAUUGUAGCUGUUGCUCAUUGUUCCCAGAAAUGCCUGCUCCUGACCCUGCUGCUGGGUGAUGUGAGAGAUGUGAAUGCCAUUGCUAUGUAACCAUUUCACAUUGCAUGUUCAAUUAAACAUGUGUGUUAAACAUUG